This is a long non-coding RNA of Oreochromis aureus, 4173 nucleotides long. The record is from Ensembl. NCBI's taxonomy places the organism in Eukaryota, Metazoa, Chordata, Actinopteri, Cichliformes, Cichlidae.
UUCAAGAAGUUAAAGCCAAGAGGAGAAGUGUAGAGCUGUAUGACGUGUAUGGGGGAGGGAGUCCAUCAUUGAGAGAAGUGAGAAGUUCCUGGUUUGUAAGACGAGCAAUAUUAUACGAUCAGACGGUCAAUAUGAAGACAGUAUGUGGCACUGUGGUCUGUUUCAUCUUUCUCAGUGCCAUCUACUGGAAAAUGUUCCCUGAUCUAAAUUUUGUUCCUGAUAAAGCAGCAACAAAAAGAAGAGCUGCAACAUGUGUGUCACAGACACAGGAAGACAUAGUUCACUGCCUGCUACAUUCAGUCCUUUUCAGUUUGCCUACAGGCCAAACCGACCCACAGACAACGCAAUAGUGCUGGCUCUGCACACUGCCCUCUCCCACCUGAACCAUAAGAACACAUAUGUGUGGAAGCUGUUUAUUGACUAGAGCUCCACUUUCAACCCUAUUAUUCCAUCCAGGUUCAUGAUGAAGCUUUGGAAUCUGUGGUUCAUUAUGCGACUGGAUCCUGGACUUCCUGAAAGGCAGACCACAGGUGGUACAAAUCCGUAGUGCUGCAUCAUCUACACCAGGGGUGUCGAACUCCAGGCCUCGAGGGCCGGUGUCCUGCAGGUUUUAGAUAUCACCCUGGGUCAACACACCUGAAUCACAUGAUUAGUUCAUUACCAGGCUUCUGAAGAACUUCAAGACAUGUUGAGGAGGUGAUUUAGCCAUUUGAAUCAGCUGUGUUGAAUCUAAAACCUGCAGGACACCGGCCGUCGAGGCCUGGAGUUCGACACCUGUGAGCUACACUGACGUUCAACACCGAUGCCUCACCAGGGAUGUGUGCUCAGCCCCCUGCUAUACACCUUGUUCACCUACAACUGUGCGGCCACACGCAGCUCAAACGCCAUCAUUUAUAUCGAGGGAAGGUGGAGAGAUGCUUCAAAUUCCUGGGGAUUAAUAUCAGUGAUGAUCUGAGCUGAUCACAUCACGUGUAUGUGAUCACAAAAGCAGCAAGACAGUGGCUCCUCUUUCUGCAGUGGUUUGGCAUGGACCCCGGAAUUCUCACCAACCUCCAUCGAUGCACCAUCAAGAGUGCAUGGGUGUUAAAAUCAUGUGUGUGUGGGGGGGCUUGUUAACAGUCUGAAUGGCCCACAGGAAGAAGGUGUUUGUGAGUGUGGUGGUGUGGGACCUGAUUGACCUGAGCAGAUGGUGGGUGGGCAUCAAGGGGUCACCUGUGAUGGCCCUGGUUUUCGUGAGACAGGAGGAGCUGGCAUGGCCUCCAGGGGUGGCAGAUGAAAGUUGUUUCUCAGUUAUGGCCCUUAUGUAGAGCACGCCCUCCAGACGAGCGUUACAAGGCCAGCAGCAGUUUCUCGUCCAGGGUUGUUCUUCCUCAGGACACAAAGAAAGUGCAGCCACUGUUGGGCCUUCUUCACCUGAACGCUGGUGUUGUGGGUCGAGGUGAGAUCAGUGGAAAUGUGGGUUUCCAGAAAGGGGGAGACAGAUUCCCCCCGUUCAACAUUUAUAAUCAAAGGGAGUGGACCUGUCUGUGCCUCCUGAAGUCCAUUAUGAGUUCUUUUGUUUUAAGGAUGUUCAGCUUCAGGUUAUUUUCUGAACCUCAGCAGGAAUUAUUCUCUACCUCCACCCUGUAUGCUGUCUCAUCUCCAUUAGAGAUGAGCCUAUUCACGGUGGUGUCAUCGGCAUACUUGAAGAUGAUGUUCAUUCAGUGGAUUGAUGCACAAUUAUGUGUGUACAUGGAGUAAAUUAGGUGGCUGAGAAUACAGCCCUGUGGAGACUUGAUGCUGAGUGACAGUUGGGCGAAGAGUUGGAGGCAGUCUGACUGACUGAGGUCUGUUUGUGAGGAAAUCUUUGAUUGAGGAGCAUUUGGCAAGGGGGACACGAAGGUGGAUCAGUUUGGUGCACUGCACGAUGGAAACACUGGUCAGGUCAAAAAAGGAAUUCCCACCUAUAGAGGAAUGGAAGGAGAAAACAUCAGAGUUGAAUGCAAAUUUUCUUACUCUGGAACCAAGAAGUUCUUCUGUAAGGGAAAAUGUGAAAAAGAAAACAUCCUAAUAGCAACAACAAAGAACUCCGCUAAAAAUGGCAGAUACAGCAUUCAGUAUGUAGAAAAAGGUUUUCUGUCAUCUGAUAUUCUGUAUGUGAGCAUCGCACAGCUGAAAAAGUCUGACAUGGGACCAUACAUGUGUUUUUCGAGUAAAACCUGGCUUGGUGAUCUGAGUCAUGAGUUUUAUAUUUUUGUCACAGAAGGCUCAAGAACAAAAACAGAAACAGCAACAACAACAACAAUACCAACAACAGAGAGUUCAGUCUUCAGUUCAGAAUGUGCUGGAGUUUCAUCAGUGUCCCCUGAAACCUCAAAACAGCCCGAGAGAUCGCCUGCAAGUUCAGCUACUGCAGGUAUGCUUCCUUAUGUGGGACUGUUUCUGGCCAUUAUGAUCAUCCUCUUCUCGGCAGCUUUGCUGAUUUUCUGCAAGAACAAGAGGGCCAGUAAACACAAAGGACCUUUGGAAAAUGAAAAUGGUGACAUCACACAGGUGAACCAGCUCUAUGAAGAGAUCAGAGAAAUGGACACUUUGUCUCCCCUGGGUGUGUCCUCAGCUUACACGUACCCCAAAUACUCCCAGUCACAUGGAUUUGAAAACAUAGACCUCCACAGCCUCAGCACCCCUCCUCAGAACAAAGCUCAAGACAACUCAAGUACUCUUCAUUACUCUGAAGUCGAUUUUUCCCACAUUCCUGCCACCAACAGCGCUCCAUCUCGUAAUGCAACUGAUGUUGUUUACUCCACACCUGUGGUACAUACCAGCCCUUCCAACCACACCAAAGAUUCUUCAUCUCCUCUGUACUCAGCAGUUAAAAAACGGUAUUAAUGCUGCCGAUGGCACCUUCCCUCUCACAAAGAUCAACAGGUGAUCGUAAUUCAUAGAAAAUGAGGUUCUUUUCUGCUUAUUUAAGUGAACUGAAUGUUCAAACAAUUAGCCUCAGAUUAAUUUAUUUAAUUAUUUAGUUAUAUCUACUUUAACUUAACAGACAACUAAUUGCAUGCAUACUUUUUGGAAACUGGAGUAUUUUUCAUUAAGAAAUACAGGAAAACCCAACUGACUUGGAACAUCCGUGGCUGUAUGAGAGCAUGCAGUGGUCUCAGGUCAGUCAGCAGGUUGUUCUUGGAGGGACAUCCAUAAAUGGAGUUAGCAAAACGGCUUCUUUCACAUGUAGAAAUUUACAUCAAGCGGUUUCUUUCUUGCCCAAACCUAACAAAACUGAGACUGAAAAGUGAAUAAUGGCAUGAAAAUCUGCACAAAACUCAAAAACAUUCUGUCAGAAAACCCUAAAGACAAGUUCCACUAGUGACAGUUUCCGUUUUCUUUCUGUUGGCAAUGUAAACAAGCAAAGAAAACAAACAAAAAAAACCCCAAAAAACAAGCAAAAAACAAAAAGAUGGGUGAAUUGAUUUAAAAUAUUAUUUUAAUAAAGCUUUUGGGAUUGCACUCUUCUUGCCCGAUUAUCCAGUGUUUUCUAUCAUGCUUGGCUCCCAUAAUCUCUAUAAAACAUGGCGCAGUCUUAUCGUCCAGGCCUGAAAAGUGAAGCUGAUUUGGAAGGUUCAACAAAUCCAGCAAAGCCAAACAUGUCAGACUUUAAUGUGAAGAUGCCUAAAUCCACAGCAGAAAUAAAAUGCAACCUGCCAUAAAAAACAAAUAAAUGACCAAAACACCAAAUUGAAUGAUAGGCGCCUAGCUUUGCUCACAAACCUGCUUGUUUGUGUAAUUUUGUACUGACACAAACACUGAAAGUACUGUGUUAAUUGUUUUUAUAAUCUUAACAAUAUCUCAGUUCUGUGGGUUAUUUAAUUUGCACAAGGAUCUUUAUGUUCUUAUUUUAUUUUGCUUCAUUGUGCUCAACCUGAUUUUUAAAUCUUAAUUAAAAUAAACAUGAACAUCGACAGUUUUAACUGUAUGGUCUUCAUUGUUGGCAAAAUACUUUUAUUAAUAAAGGUAAAUGGACUGGUUCUUAUAUUGCAAUUUUCUACUCUAUUUGAAUGCUCAAAGUGCUUUAUACAACAUGCCUCAUUCACCCAUUCACAGACAUUCAUUUGUUUUUCUACAUCUAAAUGGUUUCCAUCCAACAUUUACACACAUUUAUACGUAUGCAUGUUUCUGCUAUUAAUUCACUGAAAU